This is a small nuclear RNA of Phyllostomus discolor (pale spear-nosed bat), 104 nucleotides long. The record is from RefSeq and is a predicted model, not a curated record. Lineage: Eukaryota; Metazoa; Chordata; Mammalia; Chiroptera; Phyllostomidae.
GUGCUUGCUUCGGCAGCACAUAUACUACAAUUGGAAAGAUACAGAGAUUAGCAUGGCCCCUGUGCGAGGAUGACACACAAAUUCGUGAAGCAUUCCAUAUUUUU